GUCGUUCUCGUGUUGUGCUCUUCUUUCUAUCCCGUUAAUUAAAUAAGAUAUUAUUAUUAUUAUCGGCUCGAUAAAUUAAUUUUAAUUUGAAUUUGCAGCGUUGAUCGAAGACAAUGCUCGAUCGAAGAAGAAAAGGAAGCUUCUCUUUCUCGUUAUCUCUGUCUUUCCUUUAGAAAAUAUUAUUGAAAUUUAUUCGAUUUGUUUUGUUGAAACAGUCAGAGCGAGUAAUUUAUGCGAGGCGAGGAGAUUCGAUUUAAUUUAUCCGGAUUGGAAAUUAACUCGAUCGUUAUCGCGGGAGAUCAAGAUGAAAUGUUAUAGUAAGUCAUAAUUAAUAUGAUAAGUAAUGAUUAGUGGGAUACAUUUUAUCUGGAAUUUAAAUCUGGAUGAUCCAUCAUAGAUUUUGCAAUACUUGUCCGUCUCUAUUUUUCUGUUGACAAGUCGGAUUAUUCAACGAUCGAUAGAUCACGAAUCAGUCAGUGUUAAGGAAAUUACAAUGCAAAUUCUUGGAAUACGAGUAAAUCAACAAUACUGUGAUUUGCAAUAUUAAUGUGAUUACAUUAAAUUGGUGAAAAAAAAAAAUAAAUAAAUAAAUAAUGAAUUAAAACACAGCGUUUAUUGUGUAUUUAUGUGUUGCAAGCAGGUAAUUGAGAUUAACAAAAAUUUUGGCAAUAAAAGAUAUAUCUUAUUAUUUUUACUUUAUCUUUCGAAUUUCUUUAUCUGUGAUUGUUGUUACAGUGAAAAAAAGGACUGGUAACAGUUUUAUUUUUCUACUUUUAACACUUCCAAUUCCUCUUAAGAUAGUUUGCUUAAUUAUAAUUCUAGUUAGUUAGUUAGUUAUUUCUAAUGAAAUUUGUAAUCCUAUAUCAUUUAAUUUCUUAGUAUCUAUCGAUUGUUCUCCGAAGACAAUAUAUAAUUCCUUCUCACUGCUCUAUUCCAUGGAUAUACUCGUUUAAAAAGAUAUCAAGGGCAUGAAUGGAAGGUAUAAAAGUCACCACGAAUUCAAUUCGACGCUUUCAAACGAUACAAGUUUGGCAGACGUAAUUCAAUAGUCUUUCAUAUAACAAUAUUAUAUUUCAUCCAAACUUUUUCUCCCGUUAAAUGUAUCGUAAACAGAAGGUAAAAGGUAAACGGUGAAAAAGGAUGGAAAAAGGAGUUUUCUUCCAAAAGUGUUGUUGGCAAGAAAUUUCAAAAUUGAGAGAUCCAAAUUUGUAAAAAUUUGUAUAAAUUUUAAAUCCGCUUGUAUUUCUCUCUAUUUCUCAAAAGAACAAUCGAAUUUAUUAAUUAUUUAAAAUAAUAAUAUUGCACAAUGUCACAUUUCUCCAUAAAUUCAGAAUUUUGCAUCUUAUUAAAUUCUAAAAAUUUCCAAAUUUUUUUAAACUCGCCAAUAUUUCACGCAUAUUUUUCUUUACUUCAAAAAAAAAACAAUCGAAUUUAUAAAUUAUUUAAAAUAAUAACACUGCCUAUAAUAUCAUAUUCUCCAUAAAUUCAGAAUUUUGCAUCUUACAAUUCCAAAAAUUUCCAAAUAUUUUAAAUUCACUCAUGUUUCAUGCAUAUUUUUCUCUACUUCAAAAGAAAAAAAUUAAAUUUCUUUUCAUUUGAAUUAAAAUUUUUUUCUUUCUUUGCAAUUUUAAAAAUUGCAGAUAAAUUUUAGCUUUACGUGUAUUUCUCUUUAACUUACCAAAAAAAAAUUUAAAUCACAAUCCUUCCCAUAGAAAAAUGAUUAUAUGAAUUUUCAAAUUUUAGGCCCACUCAUGUUCUCUCUUGCGUCUAUCUCUGUCGUACAAACAAAAUACUAAGAAAAAAAAAAAAAC
Long non-coding RNA from Apis florea (little honeybee), 1811 nucleotides. The record is from RefSeq and is a predicted model, not a curated record. Lineage: Eukaryota; Metazoa; Arthropoda; Insecta; Hymenoptera; Apidae.